AGAUGUCUCAAUGGAUACAUGGAACUUUGUCUAUACUUGCCUGGUGUCCUUAUGGCUGCACAGAUUUUAUGUCUAUUCUGCUAUUGCUUUUGGAAUCAGCAUUUGGAUUGUCAUUCAGUUCACCACCACCAAAACCAAAAAGAAGGUAACCGAACAUGGUGAAAAAUCCAAUGGGAAUCCAGCUUCUUCUGAAGAAACAGAAGACAAACUAGUGAAUGGGUAUGCCACCCUGCAGGCAAAGGAGGUCUAUGUUGCUGGGGUAAAGAUUUUCUAUGGGUCUCAGACUGGCACAGCAAAGAGAUUUGCCAAAGGUCUGGCUGAAGCAGUUAUUGCCCUUAAUUUGCCUGUGGAAGUCAGUAGCUUGGGAGACUAUGAUCCAGAUGAUUGUUUAGCAGAGGAGACAAGCAGCAGGAGCAUUUGUGUGUUCUUGGUAGCUACGUACACAGAUGGACAGCCAACCGAGAGUGCAGCGUGGUUCUGCAAGUGGUUAGAAGAGGCUGCGAAUGACUUCCGCUUUGGCAAGGCGUAUCUGAAAGGCCUGAGAUAUGCUGUGUUUGGCUUGGGAAACUCAGUUUAUGUUGAUCAUUACAACACAGUUGGAAGAAAUAUUGACAGGUGGCUGUGGAUGCUCAGUGCCAGCCGUAUCCUGACUCGUGCUGAAGGGGACUGCAACGUGGCCCAGAGUAAACAUGGCAGCAUUGAGGCAGACUUUGAAGCCUGGAAAGCCAAGUUCCUCAGUCGGCUCCAGGCGCUCUGCAGAGGGGAAAAGAAGCCCUGCAGUGGGAAGUGCAAAAAGGGGAAAUGCAAGUCUCCAGGGAAGCAGAGCAAAGAGAGCUCAGAUCGUGAACAUGGGGCAUCAGAAUAUGAGAAUGCUGAGGCAGAGGAGUUUGAAACCAGUAGCGAGGAGGAGGCUGAUGCUGAGGAAAUUGGAGGCACAAAUUCUGUCAUCGAUGUUGAAGAUCUUGGCAAUAUCAUGAGCUACAUGAAGAAAGCAAAGAGAGAAUGGGAGCACGAGGAAGGCGAUGUUGGAACGAGCUUGACUGGAGAGACCACUGGGUGGAAGGAGGAGGGUGCAAAGAGAGAGAUGAUUACCCCGGCUCUGAGAGAAGCGCUCACAAAACAAGGUUACAGGCUGAUUGGAAGCCACUCUGGGGUGAAACUCUGCCGAUGGACAAAGUCGAUGCUUCGAGGCAGAGGCGGCUGCUACAAACACACAUUUUAUGGAAUUGAGAGCCACCGCUGCAUGGAGGCCACACCGAGCCUGGCUUGUGCAAACAAAUGCGUCUUUUGCUGGAGGCAUCAUACAAAUCCAGUGGGCACAGAGUGGCGAUGGAAGAUGGACCAACCUGAAAUGAUCUUGCAGGAGGCUAUUGAGAACCAUCAGAAUAUGAUCAAGCAGUUCAAAGGUGUGUCGGGAGUAAAAGCUGAUCGCUUUGAGGAAGCGAUGACGGCAAAGCACUGCGCACUCUCGCUGGUGGGAGAGCCCAUCAUGUACCCAGAGAUCAACCGCUUCGUGAGGCUCCUGCACCAGCAUGGCAUCUCCAGUUUCCUGGUUACAAAUGCACAAUUCCCAGAUGAGAUUAGGAACCUUGAGCCCGUAACGCAGCUGUACGUCAGUGUGGAUGCCAGCACCAAAGAGAGCCUGAAGAGAAUUGAUCGACCCCUCUUCAAGGAUUUCUGGCAGAGGUUUCUAGACAGUUUAAAGGCCUUGUCUGAAAAGCAACAGCGCACUGUUUAUAGGCUGACACUGGUGAAAGCUUGGAACGUGGAUGAGCUCAAAGCCUAUGCUGACCUGAUAUCCCUCGGUAAACCAGACUUCAUCGAGGUCAAGGGCGUGACGUACUGUGGUGAAAGCUCGGCCAGCAACCUCACCAUGGCCAACGUUCCCUGGCACGAGGAGGUGGUGCGCUUCGUCCAGGAGCUGGCUGACCAUAUCCCCGACUACGAAAUCGCCUGCGAGCACGAGCACUCGAACUGUCUCCUGAUAGCUCACAAGAAGUGACUCUAGUUCAGCCACUUCCACUGUCGAACAAAGGGAGCCUUAAAUAAUUGUGAGCCUUAAUUAGCUGUCUGUUUGAUGUUGUGCCCAGAGAAGUGGCUGAUGGUGGAGACUGGUGGUAGGGAACCGGUAGCUGAAAGCUGCCACACUGCAAGUCUGGGGUGGUAGCUGAUUCCCAAGCAACACCCCUGAUGUGGCAUCACCCUCUAUUUAGACAUCUCCUGUUUCAGGUACCAGUGGUCUUAAAUGCUUCUAAGCCAAGCGACUGUGCGAAGCAGAGUGGAGUGGGAAGAUGUGAUUUUAUUUUUCAGAAGGGGAAUCAUAAAGGUAAAGACUGGCAAGGCAGCUGUGGCAAGAGUGGAAUGAACCUGUGUGUCCCAGCUUCACCCUUGGCUGUUGCGGUGUUUAAAUUCCUGCAGCCUGCAAGAGCCCAGCUGCACUGUCUAGACAGUUUGUGAGACUUCAGUCUGUCCACGAUAGAAAAUCCAGAUGUGUGCGGUAACCCAGCAAAUGUGUGGAUGUGGUUCACAGUGCGAUUCUCUGCAAGCUUUGUGCUGUUUCUUUAGGGCCAAUCCGCUGCAGCAGACCUGAGCUCUGAAAGUGUCCCCUGGGCUCUGUAAGGGCCCCCUGGGUUCUUUGGUUACAGUGAAACAGUAAGGGGAAAUAAAAGGGAUGAUGAUGGGUGUUAACUCUUGCCCUGCCACGUGGCCGGUUGUGGUCAGCAUAAAAAGUAGCCGGGAUGGAUUUAUUUUUGUGUUUGCAUAUUCACAUAUGCGUAUUCAUGUGUGAAUUCAUGUACACAUAUAUGAACAUUCACAUAUCUCUCUGCAGACUGAUGAAGUUUGCAGUACUUUGAGGCUGCUGAGUUGUUCCAGCUGCUACCAGGGGUUCUAAGGCAAGGAGCAUUUCUACUACAGAUAUUUUUUUUUUUCCUCAAACUAUUCUUAAUAUAAGCCCUGUAGUCUGCUCAUGUGGGAUGAGUGGUCUUCAGUGACCCUGUGGGCUCCUUCGCCCAGAGACACAAGGGCAGGAGGCUGCACGGAUGCUUGCAAACCCCUUUUUGAGCUACAGGACCAUAGAUAUGUAAGCAUGGAAUUAAAAAUAAAUAAAUCUGCUUAAGACCUGUGCACAAAGCUGUGCUUCAUCUCUCCAGAACGAUGCUUUUCCUUAGCAGCCAAAGGAUAUAUUUAAGCUCAGCAAAGAAAGUAUUUGAAGGAAAGCCACUGCAAAACAGACUGAGGAUAUCCUGGCUGCUUCUCCAAAGAUAACUCAAAGAUGAGUUUUCUUCUUGGGAAUAAAUGGAGUGAAGUGGUGGGGGUUGGGUUGUUUUUUUUUAAAAUCCCUUGGUGUGUUUGAACACUCAGGCAGCACAGGGUCUGGAAUAUUUCAGGCUCUGAAUGCAUAACUUCCCAUAAAAAAAAAUGUGCACAAAAUUAUUUUGGUUUUGGUUUUGGGGGUUUUUUUUGGUUUGUUUUGUGUUGGUUUUUGGUUUUUUGUUUUUUUGUUUUUUUUUUCCUUAAAGCAACCCCAUGCCUGCAACAUCCAGUGCAUCUUUGCAGCCCUGGGUCGCCAAAGCCAUGGGCAGCAGCGUCGCUGCUGGCACUUGGGAGCUGGUUUGUGGGUGGCAGCUGGGAGAAGCUGUGGGGACAGGGCUGGAUCCAUCCUCUCCGUGGGGAGGGCAGACAGGGAGCAGGGUACCCGGCAGCACAGCCCCUGUGUGAGCUGUCAGUGUGCUGCUUGGCUGGGAUUUUGUGCUCGGGCAGGGAGAAGACUUAAUCAUUUCUGAAUGUCUAAGAGCCGAGCUUGCAGUUGGGUUUAACUCGUGUUUUGGGAUGGGAAGCAUUGGACCUGCUGGCCUUACAGAAGCUGAGCUGCUGACACUUGCUUUUGCAAAAUGCUCCUUUAAUGUCUCGUGCUUUCUGCAAACCAAAAUAAGCAUCGGCUGAAACAUUUGGCAAAGUCAGGUUUUAAAAUGCUGGAAAUGAUAAAUAGAAAAGCCCUCAGAGGAGCAGCGGGCCCUCCUGCAUGAUGCGACACCAGUUUCUGUGCCUCCCUGCAAUGGAAGCAUGCACCCCUUUCCCUGCUUACCACUGAUUUUAUUUUUUUUUUUUUUUUUGCAUCGUCUUAAAAACUACGCCUGAAACUGCUGCAUUCAACCAUUAAACCCUGUGCAUCUGCCCGGGGAAGAAUCCAUUUGUUGGACUCUGUGCCCUCAAGUAAUUGAAGAGCAGCUGUUGCAAGACCCAAAGCUCUGCUUUCUCUACCCAGUCUUCCCUCUGCUCUUCAGGGAUGCUGCAUUGCAACACAGCUCAUCAGAGAAAGGUUCCCUGUGGGUCCUCUCCCUGUCGGGGAUGGGCUCUGUCCUUCCAACCCAGGGUUUGCUCUGUGAGAACGAGGUCUGCAAGGAGCUGCAGCGGGCUUUGCUCCACUGCUCUGCUGUAUUCUCUUACAUAGCCCAUAGCCCUUUCCUGAAAAUACAUUAAUUUUAAAUUUUUUUUAGUGAAAGACCCGAGUGAGUGGAUGAAGAGGAGCCUCCUCGUUUCAGUGUGUUUUUUCUCUGAAGAAAGUAUGAGAUUAUCCUUGUUAGGACAAACUAAUGGAUUUUUGGUUGACUUCCAUUUUUCAGUGUUAGCGUUUCACGUGCCACCAUCUCUGCUUCUCUCCUAUAUUUUAUCCCUUCACAGAAACCCUGUAUUUAUUUCUGGAAAUUAUGCAUGUCUGGAGGAAGGUAGUAAAUUGUACUACUGUAUUGUCCUCAAUACACACACGCAGUUUUUUACCCCCAAAAAAUUGUUUAUGCAAAUAUGUUGAUAAGAAAAGAAAUCUGUCAUGUGGCUCUUCCCCUUCAUGACUGCUGAUGGGUUGCUGUAGCAAGAAGCUUCUCUCUCUGCAGUUGGAGCGGCUGUAAACCUACUGCAAAAGAUAAUUUGGAGAGAUUUCCCAUUCAUACCCACUCUUGUGAGUUAUAAGAGAAAAAGGAGGUGUUGGCCAUGCUCUGUGGAUGCUCCCAGGUAACUUGGUUCUGCAUUCCCGCCCUGGCUUCUGCUUCUCUUUGCAGUACAUAUGUUAGUGUUGUAUAGGCUGGUUGAGGGAUGGGCCGUGCCCGCGGACGCCACAGCCUCGGGCAGGCAGCUCCGUCCUUUUGCCCUGUGGCUCCCCUGGGCCAGCCGCGCCAUUCCUGGCAGAGCUGUGUAACCCCUUGGCAAACGUCCCCAGUGGGGGCCCAGCGUCACACCACCUUUCUGGGCUCAAAGGCCAUCACCGGUUUCUUCUCAUUGCCUUUGCCUCUCCUUUUCCCCGCCUUGAUGCCUGCUGGGGGCCAUGCUCCUCGCCCGGGCCGUAGGAUCUGCAGAAGUCGGGCAGGUUUUGCAUCACUGUGCACCAGUGCCGUGGCCGUAGGGAGCGGUUGGUGGUGGGAGCUGGGGUCCCUGGGAGCACGGCCUCCAAGGGGAAGGCGUGUGCUGGCUUGGGGAGGGUGAGUUUGCAUUUCCAGACAAACAGCCUGGCUUCAGAGCCAGCUGAAAGAGUUUUGUUACUUUUUUUAUGAUGCUAGCUUUAAAAAAAAAAAAAAGAAAACCAAACAAGGGAAGGGUUUCAGCCAUUUGUCUUUUUUUGAUUUAUUUAUCACCUUAAAAGACUUAACCAGGUAAUGAAAAAUUCAAUAAAAAACCUGACUGCAUUAGUCUGAAAUACCACUGAUGCUUAGCAUUGGCUCGCCUGUUAUAUGGGUGCUGUGAAACUAUUCUGAGUCUUAAAUUGUCUGUUAUCUGUGGAAUAAUCACAAAAUGGUUAAAAUAAAAUCUGUAAAUCUUGCGGGCAAUUGAGGCUGUUCUCCCCCACCCCAUUUUUGUCCAUGUUUUUUAUUCCUCAGCAGAAGUAAUUGCUUCCCAUGACACACUUAAAGGAUUGCUCCCAUUUCUUUGUGGUUUAUAGCUGUGCUAUUGCAGCACUAAAAAUAUUUAAUAUUAUUUAAUCUGCUUUUGUAGUGCAGGCAGCCUUCAUUUGGUUGUUCUGGUGGGAAUGGUAUCGUCACCUCAGUCCGCAGCGUGCGGCUUCCAGCUCUGUUGUGUCGGGAGCUGCACAUUCCAAUGAAGUCAAAUUAAAUAGCUGGAAAAUCUCACUUUGACCUGGCCGAAGUUCAGGGUGCAGAGCAAUGCACGUGGCUUGUGCGAGCCUUCGGGCCAGCCGCUGCCUCGCUCGCUCCCCUGCGCGCCGCCUCCGGUGGCCACUGAAAGCUUUGCUGCCCAGCUCCAGGUGACCGGGACUUUUGGGGGCUGGUGCUGGGAGAUCUUUGAUCAUGUUUCCUUCUGCCACUACCCUCAUCAAAGGUCACUGGCACUGCGGAAGGAGAGCUGAUGGGGGUGAGAUGCAGCCACGGCAUGAUAUGGGGGGAAAAACAUGAGUUUGCUUCUAAAAAGAGAGAAACCAUCUGAUUGUGUCCCAGAAACUCCUGUCAGGCUCUCAUCCCUAUACAAGACAGCUUCUGCCCUCGGCUGGGCAGCGACAGUGUUAUGCCAACACUGAAGCUGCUGGGGAUGAUGAAAGCACUGGUAGUGACGCCAUGGGAUGGUGGUUUUUUGCCCAUCGUUGCCAGUUAAACCGGUUGUGAGUGCAGCUGCAUCACUACUGACUGGCUUGAGACAGCGAUGGUCUGAGCAGGGCUUUUUCUGGAAAUAGCCCAGAAACAGUUCUCAGUAUCUCCGGCGGGUGAUAGUACGCUGGUUUUGUGUGGUUUCUAGCUUGAAGAUACUGGAGAGGCAGAAUCAGACCAGUGUUUGGGUUGGGGGGUGUGGCUGCAGUCCAUACCCUCAUUUCUACUGGUCAGGGUGGCACUGGUAUCUCCUGUGGUUUCGGGGCUCUUGCUGAGCUGCUCUUGGCUACAGGGUUAAUGGCUCGUUGCAAGCUCCCCCUUCCCUCCAGAGAUGAGCUGGUUUUCAGGGAAAUGGGCUUUACCCAUCGCCUAUUCAGCUGAGUUCAAGCCUUGGCAAUGGUUUUGUUCUUUCUGUGCUAGGUUUCUCUUAGAUGCCCUCAAGGCUCUCUAGGGACCUGCCUGACGUGGUAGGAGCGCUCCAUACCCAUUGUGGGAAUAAGCUCAACAGCUUGUGUGCUGAACAACUCUCCCAUGUGCUGUGUGUGUGAAAGGCUUUGCUGGAUCCUGGGGGCUGGGAGGGGUGGGGUUUGCCCUUAAUUUGUGUGAGAAUUUGCUGAGCGUUGGUGAAUCAAAUCUGGGGGGACUGGGGAGUUUUCCACAUGGUGUGGACUCGUCACAUAGCACCUCCACGCUCACCGGGAGCGAAGUUCAGGUCUCCUGAGCCUGGAUCCUCUUUGAGACCUGCUGCUUUCCAGGCGAGACGUCAUUUCCUCUGCUCUUGCUUUACUUGCGGCCAUGCACACUGGAAAGGCCAUGUCACCGUGGUGAAACGUGGCCUCCCCCUUAGCGUAUGAAGAACGAGCACUGGGUGAGUUUAUUUACGGCGCGACUUGUUCCCCGCUGCUCUGGCUCUGCAGCCUCAUGUCUCCGCUCCGUGCAGAAGAUGACUCCUGCAAGAAUUCUCUGUAAUUACGCAGGCAGCAAUAGAUUAGCAUUAGCAAGGUUUGAUUGCAAAAUUUUGCAGGUAUCAGCAGUUUUUCCAACCAAAAAAGCUUUUAGCUCUUGGGCAGAAAGUCAAGUGCCAUUUUCAAUGUGUAGCCAUCAGGGUUUUUUUUUUUAAAAAAAAAAAAAAAAAUCCAAAACAAAACAGGGACUCAGUCUGUUUUCUUUUUUUUUUUUUUCCUUUUUUUUGUGGAUGAAAUGCAUAAUAAGCUCUUAGCCCAGAUAAAUCCUAGUUGAGGAUUCAGUCAGGGCUGUUGCUAAAUUAGCAAAGCAGGUCUGCUAGACAAAUGCAGCUUCAGCUUGUCAAAAUAAGUAAUUUUUACAAUUUUCACACGGAAAGAGGAUUCAUGUCAUUAAACCUUUUUAUCCUCCCCCAUUCCCAAACACAGCUCUCUUGCCCCUUUCAAGUAUCACCCAAAUCCAUCCCAAGUACCACAGCACACGGAUCUGGUGUUGGUCCCAUAGUAUUUUGCCAAGCUGUGGCUGCCUGGGAGUCAGUGUCACAGGCUCCCAACAGGGGCUUUGGUUGCCCUUGGAAAGGUCCCUUCAUCCAGGGGUACCUGGGCAUUGCUCGCACAUGCACAUGUUUCUUCCAGGGCUCUUCCAUUUCCCCAAACCAAGGUCUUUCAGGUACAGGUGACACCUGGGAAGUGCAGACUCUCCUGGGAUGGCUUUGGGAUGCACCAUGGAAGCAUCCCGUUCCUCCUGGCAAAGCGGGGCUGAAGUGCUGGUAGGGACUGGCAAAGCACCCAGCGGUCAAACCCUGGUGGAGAUUAUCUGCUGGUAGGCAGCACUAGAUGACUGAAGUUGUAAGGAAUACGGCCAUCCUGUAUCUGUGUGUGUUGUCAAACCCCUGGAUGAAAGGUGGCUCAGAAACAUUCCGGAUUGAUGGCGAGUGGUGCACCUGGAUCAACUACGACCGCUUCCAGGAGCUGGUGCAAGAGCAGGAGAGGAGCGGCGG
Molecule: RNA transcript, 8553 nt
Organism: Egretta garzetta (little egret)
Lineage: Eukaryota; Metazoa; Chordata; Aves; Pelecaniformes; Ardeidae
Gene name: S-adenosyl-L-methionine-dependent tRNA 4-demethylwyosine synthase TYW1
Exons: 17
Source: RefSeq, a predicted model, not a curated record